GAGCUUAGUCCUGACCGGCAACCUGGA
RNAcentral lists this small RNA (27 nucleotides) under Bombyx mori (domestic silkworm). RNAcentral describes it as "ovarian small RNA-15864". The record is from RNAcentral. Lineage: Eukaryota; Metazoa; Arthropoda; Insecta; Lepidoptera; Bombycidae.